RNAcentral lists this ribosomal RNA (697 nucleotides) under uncultured bacterium. RNAcentral's name for it is "bacterial SSU rRNA". It matches the Rfam family "Bacterial small subunit ribosomal RNA", at positions 634 to 1329 of the family's 1533-position model. The record is from RNAcentral.
GGGCAGACUUGAGUACUGCAGGGGAGACUGGAAUUCCUGGUGUAGCGGUGGAAUGCGCAGAUAUCAGGAGGAACACCGGUGGCGAAGGCGGGUCUCUGGGCAGUAACUGACGCUGAGGAGCGAAAGCGUGGGGAGCGAACAGGAUUAGAUACCCUGGUAGUCCACGCCGUAAACGGUGGGUACUAGGUGUGGGUUUCCUUCCUUGGGAUCCGUGCCGUAGCUAACGCAUUAAGUACCCCGCCUGGGGAGUACGGCCGCAAGGCUAAAACUCAAAGAAAUUGACGGGGGCCCGCACAAGCGGCGGAGCAUGUGGAUUAAUUCGAUGCAACGCGAAGAACCUUACCUGGGUUUGACAUGCACAGGACGCCGGCAGAGAUGUCGGUUCCCUUGUGGCCUGUGUGCAGGUGGUGCAUGGCUGUCGUCAGCUCGUGUCGUGAGAUGUUGGGUUAAGUCCCGCAACGAGCGCAACCCUUGUCUCAUGUUGCCAGCGGGUAAUGCCGGGGACUCGUGAGAGACUGCCGGGGUCAACUCGGAGGAAGGUGGGGAUGACGUCAAGUCAUCACGCCCCUUAUGUCCAGGGCUUCACACAUGCUACAAUGGCCGGUACAAAGGGCUGCGAUGCCGCGAGGUUAAGCGAAUCCUUUUAAAGCCGGUCUCAGUUCGGAUCGGGGUCUGCAACUCGACCCCGUGAAGUCGG